GGCAAUGGGGGCAACCCUGACCGAGCAACGCCGCGUGAGUGAAGAAGGUUUUCGGAUCGUAAAGCUCUGUCGUAAGUCAAGAACGGGUGUGAGAGUGGAAAGUUCACACUGUGACGGUAGCUUACCAGAAAGGGACGGCUAACUACGUGCCAGCAGCCGCGGUAAUACGUAGGUCCCGAGCGUUGUCCGGAUUUAUUGGGCGUAAAGCGAGCGCAGGCGGUUUGAUAAGUCUGAAGUUAAAGGCUGUGGCUCAACCAUAGUUCGCUUUGGAAACUGUCAAACUUGAGUGCAGAAGGGGAGAGUGGAAUUCCAUGUGUAGCGGUGAAAUGCGUAGAUAUAUGGAGGAACACCGGUGGCGAAAGCGGCUCUCUGGUCUGUAACUGACGCUGAGGCUCGAAAGCGUGGGGAGCGAACAGGAUUAGAUACCCUGGUAGUCCACGCCGU
This 444-nucleotide ribosomal RNA is filed under the name uncultured Bacillota bacterium. RNAcentral's name for it is "bacterial SSU rRNA". It matches the Rfam family "Bacterial small subunit ribosomal RNA", at positions 367 to 803 of the family's 1533-position model. Lineage: Bacteria; Bacillati; Bacillota. The record is from RNAcentral.